GGGAAAAUCGAGUUCCCCCAUUCAAAAACUUUGUUCUUCUGGUUCGAAGAGAGAGGGGGGGAGGAGGAGGAGGAGCGGCGACCCCCACCACUGUCAGUCCCUCCGGCGACGACCUCCACCCUGCGAAAAGAUCUCACUAUCAAAUCGCGAAAAGCGCGAUGCGCCACCGUCCAAGCACCGCGAAGAGUCACCAAUACCUUUUGAUGAGGCAGAAAGAUUCAAAUAUUUCAGACUGUUUUGCGGCUGGAACGAUGGCUAAUUUCGGGUUUAGAAUGAACUGAUUUUCUGGGUUGUUUACCAAGCUAAAAUGGGCUGUUUUAAGUGCAGUUUCUGGGCUGGUUUUGGACCUGUUUCGGGCUGGUUUUGUGACUGAGUUUUGGGAUGGUUUCAGGGCUCAAACGGAGUGAUGCUCUGCCCAAUUAGUUUGCUUCCCAUUGGACUUUCAAGGCCAAUCUUUCUUGUGCAGUGUUGGGGAGACUCAAAAAGGCAGUGAAAGAGAUUGAAGCUAUUCAAAUGAAUCAAAGGCCAAGAAAAAUGAUCAAUUUGUUGUAAUUUGUAAUAUCAAGUUGUAAUUUGUUGGAAUAUGUAGUUGUAGUAUCAAGUUUUAGUUUUGCGAAACCUAACUUUGUAUGUAAUUGAUUAUUGUGAUGAGAACGGCCCGGUGUGGGUUUUAAAUUUAUUGGAUUGUGAAUGUUAUAUACAAUGUCGUUUUCAGUUU
Long non-coding RNA from Rhododendron vialii, 718 nucleotides. RefSeq lists it as uncharacterized. The transcript is spliced from 2 exons. The record is from RefSeq and is a predicted model, not a curated record. NCBI's taxonomy places the organism in Eukaryota, Viridiplantae, Streptophyta, Magnoliopsida, Ericales, Ericaceae.